AUUGAACGCUGGCGGCAGGCCUAACACAUGCAAGUCGAACGCGUGGCGGACGUGUGUGUAAUGUCUGGGAAACUGCCUGAGGGAGGGGGAUAACCACUGGAAACUGUAUCUUAUACCGCAUCCCAUCAGGUGUCACCAGAUGGGAGUAGCUAGUUGGUGGGGUAACGGCUCACCAAGGCGACGACCCCUAGCGGGUCUGAGAGGAUGACCAGCCACACUGGAACUGAGACACGGUCCAGACUCCUACGGGAGGCAGCAGUGGGGAAUAUUGCACAAUGGGCGCAAGCCUGAUGCAGCCAUGCCGCGUGUAUGAAGAAGGCCUUCGGGUUGUAAAGUACUUUCAGCGGGGAGGCGUUACCCGCAGAAGAAGCACCGGCUAACUCCGUGCCAGCAGCCGCGGUAAUAC
Molecule: ribosomal RNA, 406 nt
Filed under: uncultured bacterium
Lineage: Bacteria
Description: partial 16S ribosomal RNA
Rfam family: Bacterial small subunit ribosomal RNA
Source: RNAcentral